GAUGAACGCUGGCGGCGUGCCUAAUACAUGCAAGUCGAGCGAACAGACGAGGAGCUUGCUCCUCUGACGUUAGCGGCGGACGGGUGAGUAACACGUGGAUAACCUACCUAUAAGACUGGGAGAACUUCGGGAAACCGGAGCUAAUACCGGAUAAUAUAUUGAACCGCAUGGUUCAAUAGUGAAAGACGGUUUUGCUGUCACUUAUAGAUGGAUCCGCGCCGCAUUAGCUAGUUGGUAAGGUAACGGCUUACCAAGGCAACGAUGCGUAGCCGACCUGAGAGGGUGAUCGGCCACACUGGAACUGAGACACGGUCCAGACUCCUACGGGAGGCAGCAGUAGGGAAUCUUCCGCAAUGGGCGAAAGCCUGACGGAGCAACGCCGCGUGAGUGAUGAAGGUCUUCGGAUCGUAAAACUCUGUUAUUAGGGAAGAACAAAUGUGUAAGUAACUAUGCACGUCUUGACGGUACCUAAUCAGAAAGCCACGGCUAACUACGUG
Molecule: ribosomal RNA, 497 nt
Filed under: uncultured bacterium
Lineage: Bacteria
Description: partial 16S ribosomal RNA
Rfam family: Bacterial small subunit ribosomal RNA
Source: RNAcentral